This 249-nucleotide small RNA is filed under the name Oryza sativa Japonica Group (Japanese rice). RNAcentral describes it as "sRNA Os09g0308600". The record is from RNAcentral. Lineage: Eukaryota; Viridiplantae; Streptophyta; Magnoliopsida; Poales; Poaceae.
CCGCCGCCGGCGAAAGAUCCGGCCGCCGGAGGCUUGGCAACUUAAUUUAGUAUAUUGCUGGCCACAUGAUUACAUAAAAUGAUAUAUGAUCGUUGCUUCGUCGCUUCCUCCAUUAUUUUCCUUUGUUUUUUCUAUUUUGCUUUUUGUUUUUGAGAUGAUGGUUGUUGUUCUCCAUUUCUGAUCAAUUGAAAUAAUAAGCAGGUAGGCAACCUUCGAUAUGAUAAUAUAUAUGUGAUGAAUCGAUUUCUU